Aegilops tauschii subsp. strangulata is the source of this 2426-nucleotide non-coding RNA. NCBI's taxonomy places the organism in Eukaryota, Viridiplantae, Streptophyta, Magnoliopsida, Poales, Poaceae. The record is from RefSeq and is a predicted model, not a curated record.
GCUGUUUGUCGCCCCGCGCUACAGCUGUGGAUAGACAUCCACUGGCCCGACUGGCCUCCUCACCUCUCUCUCUCAUUUCUCUCUCUCCCACGCGAUCCCCAAAUCGCCGCCCCUGCCGCCGGCCUCCCCUGCCAACUCCGGCGAGCUCUGGCGCCGUCCAGCAUACCCACGGCUCCCCCUCACCGAGCUCUACCUGCUCCACCUCUUCGAUCUGCUUUCCCCUGCCUCGUGUGGUCGCUCGCUUCGGUCAAACCUCGCUAGGGUUUCGGUGCUUGCGGGGCUAGGUCGCCGGCGUGGUUCCGGCGCCUUGCUCCGGUGUGACUUGAAUCCUGGCUGUGCCUAGGUGUCGCACGCGUCACUGAUGCGGCCCUGGUCGCUGGCGAUGCGGCGGUCGCCUGCCUCUCCACGGCUUCGCGUACCUCGCCUCCUGCCGCCGUGUGAUGGCGGUGAGUUGGCCACACCGCAACCGCGGCGGUGGCGAUGCACGGCCUUGGCUAUAACCCCUUCAUGGUGAGCUUCUCCUUCUCUGCCCUACUGCUGCCUCUACUGCCUAGACCAUGGCUGCGGUGAUCUUGGUCCUCUUCGUGUACUGGUAAUAUGACUUAGGUUUUUGAGGACGCUUGGAUUGAUGGCUAUGGUCUGCUACUUGAUUUGUGCUUUACUGAAAUUAGUUGGGGUAGUUGGUUACUGUUUAGGGUUCAUAUUUGGGCCUAGAUUUGUUGAUGUGCUAAUGCUCCUGUUGAUCCACUAGUCCAUACUCUAGUUCUAGUUCAUGCCUAUGGACUGGUCGUUGGGGAUUUGGUGCUGCUGGUGGUCCUAUGUGCACUUGUUUGAUAUACUAGCACUUUAUCGUUAAUUGACAGUUAAACCAUUAACCUACCAUGCAUAUAGAUGUGUUCCUGUGGAAUUGAUGCUACUUUAACUCUGUGAUCAACUUGUGGUCAUGAUCUAGUUCUGGUUGUAGUUCUUGUUAUUUAAAUGUUCCUUUUAUUUCAGUUUCUCUUGCUGCAAGUAUAAUUACAUGCUUAUAUUCUUGUUGGUCACUUGUUACUCUUCAAGCUGGUAUCUGUGUUUAAUACAUAUUAGUUUUUAUUUAAAUACCAUGUACUGGUAUUUCUUGUUCUGUUUAGUACAUCAUCUUUUAGUGGUUUAGUUGUAUAUAGUGCACAUCACAUAGUCCUGGUAGUUGCAUGUGGUGACACUUCUUUUAUUGCUUUAGUUAUAUCAGAUGUUUCUUUUACAUGCUUAAUAAUUAACAGUAUCAUUGGUUUAAAGGACAUAGCCCUUUAUUUAUAGAUACUUAUAUUGCUUUACCUGGUUCAGUUUAGAAUAGAUGCUCUCUUGGUCUUAGCUUUUCUCUCAUCCUUUCUUUCCUCCUCUUCUAAACUCUACUGAUAAGAACAGUUGCUCCUUGAUCGUAACCAAGCCCAUGAUGCUGGUCUGAGGCUCCUUGACCUUAACGACUUGGCUCUCCAAGCAACAAAAUCAGUUCAGCUGCGCUCUUGGUUCCUCUUUCUUGCUUAUUGGUCAGAUUCUGAAUCUAGAUUCUACUAUUUUGGUUCAUAUUCCAUUGAUUUGGUACGCUACAUCUACAUUGAUGCAUCAACUCUGCUCCAUAAAUAUGGAUACAUGUUUGCAGGCAGUUUUCUUCGACAGUUUUGUGUUGCCAUUGCUCCCAGUCAUCAGAUUCUGUUAAUUGAAAAGGAUCCAAACAAGGCAGUUCCAUUGUUCUGAGCAGCUCUUAACAGUGGUGAACAAUUGAGAGUGCAUUGAAGGAUAUGGCUACUGUACUGAAACAAGCAAACCGGGCUGAAGAAGCCAUCGAUGCGAUAAGAUCCUUCCGUGACCGUUGUCCAAAUGAAGCUCGGGAGUCUCUUGACAAUAUUCUUCUUGACCUAUACAAGGUAUCUCGGGCCUGUAAAUUUACGUAUAUAAUGUAAUAAUAAACCCAUAUCACAUUUGUGUAUGAAUUGGUAGCCUAGUAUUUAUAACAAUCUUUGUCUGUGUUGAACCAGAAAUGCGUAGGGAACACAUGGACAUGAAGCCACGGCGGCGACGAAUACGAUAUCGACAUUGGGCUGCGGCGACGAUGAUGACGACGACAUCGGCAUCGACACAGGGCUACAGCGGCGACGAAGACGACGACAUCGUCAUGGUGCUGCUGCGGCAGUGACGACGACGACAUCAACACGGCCUUGUGGAGGCGCCGACGCCGACGACAUAGACGCGUGGCAUAUAUUGUGUGUGUGUUUGUGCGCGUGCGUGUGUGUGUGCGUGUGCGUGUGUUAAUUAUCUACAUCAGAUAUGUAUGAUUGAUGAUUGACUGUAUGCAUAACAUGUACGUAUUGUGAAAUGCAUGUCUAAACUGAAAUAGGUAGACUUUUUUAAAAAAAAAUCCUAAUUUGUUACUAGUAGCGUGGGUGUAU